GUGGGGAAUUUUGGACAAUGGGCGCAAGCCUGAUCCAGCCAUGCCGCGUGCAGGAAGACGCAUCUAUGGUGUGUAAACUGCUUUUGUACGGGAAGAAACACUCCCUCGUGAGGGAGCUUGACGGUACCGUAAGAAUAAGGAUCGGCUAACUCCGUGCCAGCAGCCGCGGUAAUACGGAGGAUCCAAGCGUUAUCCGGAAUCAUUGGGUUUAAAGGGUCCGUAGGCGGUUUAAUAAGUCAGUGGUGAAAGCCCAUCGCUCAACGAUGGAACGGCCAUUGAUACUGUUAGACUUGAAUUACAAGGAAGUAACUAGAAUAUGUAGUGUAGCGGUGAAAUGCUUAGAUAUUACAUGGAAUACCAAUUGCGAAGGCAGGUUACUACUUGUGGAUUGACGCUGAUGGACGAAAGCGUGGGGAGCGAACAGGAUUAGAAACCCCGGUAGUCC
RNAcentral lists this ribosomal RNA (445 nucleotides) under uncultured bacterium. Its description in RNAcentral is "partial 16S ribosomal RNA". It matches the Rfam family "Bacterial small subunit ribosomal RNA", at positions 354 to 796 of the family's 1533-position model. The record is from RNAcentral.